RNAcentral lists this ribosomal RNA (135 nucleotides) under uncultured Azospirillum sp. RNAcentral describes it as "partial 16S ribosomal RNA". It matches the Rfam family "Bacterial small subunit ribosomal RNA", at positions 374 to 528 of the family's 1533-position model. The record is from RNAcentral. Lineage: Bacteria; Pseudomonadati; Pseudomonadota; Alphaproteobacteria; Rhodospirillales; Azospirillaceae.
GGGGCACCUGAUCCGCAAUGCCGCGUGAGUGAUGAAGGCCUUAGGGUUGUAAAGCUCUUUCGCACGCGACGAUGAUGACGGUAGCGUGAGAAGAAGCCCCGGCUAACUUCGCUGCCAGCAGCCGCGGUAAUACGA